This 492-nucleotide ribosomal RNA is filed under the name uncultured bacterium. RNAcentral's name for it is "partial 16S ribosomal RNA". It matches the Rfam family "Bacterial small subunit ribosomal RNA", at positions 29 to 507 of the family's 1533-position model. The record is from RNAcentral.
AGUGAACGCUGGCGGUAGGCCUAACACAUGCAAGUCGAACGGCAGCACAGUAAGAGCUUGCUCUUACGGGUGGCGAGUGGCGGACGGGUGAGGAAUACAUCGGAAUCUACUUUUUCGUGGGGGAUAACGUAGGGAAACUUACGCUAAUACCGCAUACGACCUACGGGUGAAAGCAGGGGAUCUUCGGACCUUGCGCGAUUGAAUGCGCCGAUGUCGGAUUAGCUAGUUGGCGGGGUAAAUGCCCACCAAGGCGACGAUCCGUAGCUGGUCUGAGAGGAUGAUAAGCCACACUGGAACUGAGACACGGUCCAGACUCCUACGGGAGGCAGCAGUGGGGAAUAUUAGACAAUGGGCGCAAGCCUGAUCCAGCCAUACCGCGUGGGUGAAGAAGGCCUUCGGGUUGUAAAGCCCUUUUGUUGGGAAAGAAAAGCAGCAGGUUAAUACCCCGCUGUUCUGACGGUACCCAAAGAAUAAGCACCGGCUAACUUCGUG